GUGAACGCUGGCGGCAGGCCUAACACAUGCAAGUCGAGCGGCAGCGCGGGGGCAACCCUGGCGGCGAGCGGCGGACGGGUGAGGAAUUCGUCGGAAUCUGCCUUUUUGUGGGGGAUAACGUAGGGAAACUUACGCUAAUACCGCAUACGACCUACGGGUGAAAGUGGGGGACCUUCGGGCCUCACGCAGAAAGAUGAGCCGACGACCGAUUAGCUAGUUGGUAGGGUAAAGGCCUACCAAGGCGACGAUCGGUAGCUG
This 258-nucleotide ribosomal RNA is filed under the name uncultured bacterium. RNAcentral describes it as "partial 16S ribosomal RNA". It matches the Rfam family "Bacterial small subunit ribosomal RNA", at positions 29 to 289 of the family's 1533-position model. The record is from RNAcentral.